RNAcentral lists this transfer RNA (87 nucleotides) under Candidatus Parcubacteria bacterium. RNAcentral's name for it is "tRNA-Ser". It matches the Rfam family "tRNA". Rfam says of the family: Transfer RNA (tRNA) molecules are approximately 80 nucleotides in length. Their secondary structure includes four short double-helical elements and three loops (D, anti-codon, and T loops). Further hydrogen bonds mediate the characteristic L-shaped molecular structure. tRNAs have two regions of fundamental functional importance: the anti-codon, which is responsible for specific mRNA codon recognition, and the 3' end, to which the tRNAs corresponding amino acid is attached (by aminoacyl-tRNA synthetases). tRNAs cope with the degeneracy of the genetic code in two manners: having more than one tRNA (with a specific anti-codon) for a particular amino acid; and 'wobble' base-pairing, i.e. permitting non-standard base-pairing at the 3rd anti-codon position. The record is from RNAcentral. Lineage: Bacteria; Candidatus Parcubacteria.
GGAGAGGUGGCUGAGUGGUCGAAAGCACCGGUUUCGAAAACCGGCAUCCAGGAAACUGGAUCGAGAGUUCGAAUCUCUCCCUCUCCG